GGCAGCCUGUGGAGGUGAGCAGACCUACACUCUGAAGCUCUGCAAAAGGAGUGCUGUGGGAGGCCCAACUACCAGGUCUCCUGACUAUUGAUGGUCUAGUUGCCCUGCUGAGGGAAGAGGACUCUGGACAUUUGCAAGGAAGAAGAACCACCUUUCACUCAGAAGACACCUUUCCCUCUGCUGCUACUUGCCUUUCGACAAAGUAUCUCCCAUCUCUCCCCCCUUCCUGCUUUUGCCAGAAGAGGGGCUUUUAAAGGUCACUGGCAGCCCUUAACUGGGCUCAGGUGUCUCUAGUUAACCUGAAGUAACCUUUUGUUAGUCCCUAGGGAAUAGGGCCUUCACCAUUCUAGGGCUCAUGUACUGCUUUCCACCACUGUCUUGUGGGUGUGGAGCUACCACUGCUGAGCCCAGAGCACCCUCUUCAGCUUUCAUCUAGGCCAGCCCCUCCCUGCUAUCUCACCGGCUAGUGGUCCCCCUGGUUGCUGCUGUGCCUUGGGGGGGGGGGCCCUGCUGGCCUGCUCCCCAGAGGAGAAGCAAGGGCCCCACCUCUGCUGUUGAUACCCCCUUGAGGGGUCCCUCCUGACUGCUGAUUCUUCUGCGUGGAAGCCUGCUGCUACCCUAAGGAGGAACAGGAAGACCUUUACUGCUGGGGGAGCAUGCAGGAACGCUGCAGGACACUGUGUAGGGGGGCCUACUGUUCGGCUGAAUGACUUUUUCCAUCUUUGCUCUCAUGGUGGUGUUAUGGGGAGAAGGGGGAGCGGCGUGGAGCCCUCUGCCUGGUCUAUCUGCCCCUCCCCCACAGCUACCAUCUGCCUCCAAUCCUCACCCCUCUACUCAGUUGCUCGUUUCUCCACCAUCUGGGACUAUUACAGCAGCUGCUACAGACUGAGCUCGCAAGCACAUGUGGUUGCAUGUGUCUUUCCUCCUGCCCCUGGACUUGCCCUCCCCUCCUCUGCUUCUUCUGCAGGUGGGCUUCCCCCACCCUCUGCUUUGCCCACCGGCCUUCCCAGCAGCAGUUUACCCCUUGCUGCCUGCCUUGCCCUGGCCCCUGGCUGUUUGCCUGUGUGCCUGCCCCACUCCAGUCCCUGGAUGUUUGCUAGUUUUGCCUGCCCUGCCCUGCCCUGCCCCUUGCAGCUAGCCCCUGUGGGUUUCCUACCUUGGCCCCAGUCUGCUUCCAGUCUCUCCCUUUCUCCCCUCACUUUCCGUUGUCCCCCUCUUGUUCAACUCCCUCACUCCAUGCACCCAUGUCCCGUCCCCCCCCCACAGCACUUGUGCCCCUUUCUGUUUUAUGUUGAACCCCUAGAGUCCUUGGAGGACCUGGGUGAAUGGGUGGCUUUCACCUCUGUCCUGCCUUUCCUUCCCAAUGCCACCCUUUUGCCCUCCUUUCUGCCCUGGAGAAGCCCCUUUCGGUGAUCAUCCCUCUCCCACUAGGCUGCAAGGACGCUGCCCUCCGUCACUUCCUCUCGUUCCGCCGGUAGGUGCAGAUUCAGCUGCUGGUGGUGGUGUGUGAUGGAGAGGUACUCAAGGAGUCCUUUUUGCAGAGGGCCUGGUACCAGGUGUACUACUCUUUGGGCGAGGCCCAGUGUUACCUCUGGUGGGCAACAGGGCACGUCUGGAGGGACUGACCCCUGGCCCAGCAUGGAGGGAUGCCUGGGACUCCCAAGCCCCAGGAGGGAGCCAGCCUUGUCACUGUCUGUGACCCUGCUUACCCAGCUCCCACAGUCAACUCUCCUCCUCCCCAGCCUGCCAUUUCCUCCGCUCGGGCCCUGGGGGUGGCCCCCAUGGUGUGCCCAGAUGAGCAGGCAGGCCCUACCUCUGUCAUGUGCAGUUCAGGGGGACCCACGGAGGAGAAGGCAGUGGGGCAUGGUAGAGGACCCACUCCAGGGGCAGCUUUCCCUUGUCCACACUGUCGUCCACCCCCAUUACCUCCCCAACUCCUUGCCUUUACCCCCUAGCCCCAUCCCUGCUGGCCAGCCCUCUGCUAACACCUGGGAGGGCUGGCAAGAGGAAGGCACGGGCUCAGCACCUCCCCCUCGAUGCAGAGGGUGAGGAGGCCCCCUGCAAGACCAGAAGGGGGGCUGCUGCUGUCAAGCCUUCCAUCACCUCCCCGUGAUAGGGCACAACAACUAGAGCCAGCUGGGGGAGUUGUGGCAGUCAUGAGAGGAAGUACUGCCCCACUUCUGGAGUACGUUCUUGUGAGAGCCUCAGAUGGAGCCCCUGCAUCCCUUUGUUAUCUGCCGGCUCCCCGGUUGGCACUGAGGUAUUCUCCUUCCUCAGCUCCUCAUGAGUGCCUAGUCCUGGCCAGGGACUUCAAAACCAUCCUUGAAGAGAAGGACCUCUCUGGGACCAAGCAGUGCCCGGCUGCCUCGGAGGUCCUCCGGGAGACUGUAGACCAUCACUCCCUGCAUGACACCAUCCAGACAAUGAGUCUGCUUUUACUUGUGUCUGGAUAGAGGCAGACCGGUCGUGCCACUCCCAGUUGGAUCACAUUUCUUUAUCUUGUCCUCUUUUGCAGGCCCACUCCUGCAGCAUCUGUCUGGCCCUGUUCUUGGACCAUCAUCUGUUGGCCAUGGCAGCCUCUCUGACUUCAGAGAGGUUGAGGCUGGCCUAUUGUCACUUUAACAAUAGCCUGCUGGGCCUUGUUGCAUCCUUCCGGGAGUUCUGGCAGGCCUGGUGAGGGAAGAGGUGCGCCUUACCCUUGGCCCAGUGGUGGUGGGAUGUGGGGAAGGUGCACACGCCCGGCUCUUCUGUCAUGACUAUGCCUCGAGCACCAGCUGUUGGAGGGCUUUGGUGUCGGAGCAGAUGCUGCAGGAGGUCUUUGAGCUGGAGAGGCAUCUGGCCGCCAGCCCCAGGGAUUUAUCCAUGUGCGGAGUGGCUGUCUAUAACACCAGGGAGAGGAUGUUGGCUGAGGGGGUUCUUUGCGACUGUGGGCCUAUUUUUGCUCGCGUAUCUGAGCAGAGUUCCUCUGGGUAGCAUCUGCUGGCUCCCUUGACACCUUCGAGGAGCAGUGGAUGCUGUCUGGGGUUUUCUGUUUGGUGUCCCCUUCAGGUUCCCUAUUUUUGAUCUGUUGACUCUCACACCUGUUUUUUUUUUUCUGUUGUCCCCAUACUUGUGUCCCAGGCUCAGUGGAUCCUCCCCAUAGGCUGGAGCAUGGUCUUUUAGCUGUGGACAGACUUGUGCCUGUCCACUUCCCAGAACCCAAUAGGACCACUCUUAUAUCUGCCAGGACCGACUUUGUCACAACAGCUAUAUUGGUAAAAAAAAAAACCAAACAACAAAACAUAGCCCUAAUUGACAUAGUUGUACUUGUACAAAAACAGCAUGUGGACCAGCUGUGAUGCUGUAUGACCAUAAAAUAUGACCAUUUAUGUCAUUAAUAUUGCCACUGUUGGACAAUUGCAACAAAUCUUGUACAAAGUAUGUCCUGGAAAAGUUACAAUCUAUCAAAUAUGAUUAUUCUGUUUGUACACAUGUAUCAUCUUUGUAUCUAGCGUUAUGAAUAUUGACCAUGUACAGUAUUUCAAAUGUGUGUGCUCCUGGGGGGUAACACCAGUUUACAUCCCCGUCUAGCCAGCACAUUGUGAAUGGACCAUUCAAAUUGAUAGCCUAUUAAAUAACACAAUGGGCUGUAGAAGAAGCUUGUCCCCCACCAGUGAGCCUUCCUGUGGAUGCUUUAGCCAGAAUAUGGAUAAUGGCUGCUUCUAUGAGUCAUGAAAGCAUGCAAGGGCGUGUGACUACUCGUGUGAACCUGGACGGACUCCAUCUUGUGCCUGUAAUUUUCCACACACUAAGGCUGAGAGCAUUCCCUUCACAUGGGAGAAAAUAUAAAGGACCCUGAAAGCAUCUCCAUUUUGCCUGUUUUCUGCUCUGAUCUCUGAAUUUACACUAAAAAAAGCAUAUUGACUAUGGACUGAGGACCUUCCAAUCUUUUGGAAAUUACCAGAGAUUUGACAAGCCAGCAGUCUAUAACCUCACUGCUACAAACCUGAUACAAGAACUUUGCAGUGAAUGUAUGUAUAUAAUUUCUUUGACCAUUUUUAACUCUUUCCUUUUUCUCUUAUAAAGAAACCUUUAAAUAUUAGGUACUAAAGGAUUGGCAACAGAGU
Molecule: long non-coding RNA, 4106 nt
Organism: Dermochelys coriacea (leatherback sea turtle)
Lineage: Eukaryota; Metazoa; Chordata; Testudines; Dermochelyidae
Exons: 3
Source: RefSeq, a predicted model, not a curated record